This 1454-nucleotide ribosomal RNA is filed under the name Helicobacter pylori. RNAcentral's name for it is "bacterial SSU rRNA". It matches the Rfam family "Bacterial small subunit ribosomal RNA". The record is from RNAcentral. Lineage: Bacteria; Pseudomonadati; Campylobacterota; Epsilonproteobacteria; Campylobacterales; Helicobacteraceae.
AGUGAACGCUGGCGGCGUGCCUAAUACAUGCAAGUCGAACGAUGAAGCUUCUAGCUUGCUAGAAUGCUGAUUAGUGGCGCACGGGUGAGUAACGCAUAGGUCAUGUGCCUCUUAGUUUGGGAUAGCCAUUGGAAACGAUGAUUAAUACCAGAUACUCCCUACGGGGAAAGAUUUAUCGCUAAGAGAUCAGCCUAUGUCCUAUCAGCUUGUUGGUAAGGUAAUGGCUUACCAAGGCUAUGACGGGUAUCCGGCCUGAGAGGGUGAACGGACACACUGGAACUGAGACACGGUCCAGACUCCUACGGGAGGCAGCAGUAGGGAAUAUUGCUCAAUGGGGGAAACCCUGAAGCAGCAACGCCGCGUGGAGGAUGAAGGUUUUAGGAUUGUAAACUCCUUUUGUUAGAGAAGAUAAUGACGGUAUCUAACGAAUAAGCACCGGCUAACUCCGUGCCAGCAGCCGCGGUAAUACGGAGGGUGCAAGCGUUACUCGGAAUCACUGGGCGUAAAGAGCGCGUAGGCGGGAUAGUCAGUCAGGUGUGAAAUCCUAUGGCUUAACCAUAGAACUGCAUUUGAAACUACUAUUCUAGAGUGUGGGAGAGGUAGGUGGAAUUCUUGGUGUAGGGGUAAAAUCCGUAGAGAUCAAGAGGAAUACUCAUUGCGAAGGCGACCUGCUGGAACAUUACUGACGCUGAUUGUGCGAAAGCGUGGGGAGCAAACAGGAUUAGAUACCCUGGUAGUCCACGCCCUAAACGAUGGAUGCUAGUUGUUGGAGGGCUUAGUCUCUCCAGUAAUGCAGCUAACGCAUUAAGCAUCCCGCCUGGGGAGUACGGUCGCAAGAUUAAAACUCAAAGGAAUAGACGGGGACCCGCACAAGCGGUGGAGCAUGUGGUUUAAUUCGAAGAUACACGAAGAACCUUACCUAGGCUUGACAUUGAGAGAAUCCGCUAGAAAUAGUGGAGUGUCUGGCUUGCCAGACCUUGAAAACAGGUGCUGCACGGCUGUCGUCAGCUCGUGUCGUGAGAUGUUGGGUUAAGUCCCGCAACGAGCGCAACCCCCUUUCUUAGUUGCUAACAGGUCAUGCUGAGAACUCUAAGGAUACUGCCUCCGUAAGGAGGAGGAAGGUGGGGACGACGUCAAGUCAUCAUGGCCCUUACGCCUAGGGCUACACACGUGCUACAAUGGGGUGCACAAAGAGAAGCAAUACUGCGAAGUGGAGCCAAUCUUCAAAACACCUCUCAGUUCGGAUUGUAGGCUGCAACUCGCCUGCAUGAAGCUGGAAUCGCUAGUAAUCGCAAAUCAGCCAUGUUGCGGUGAAUACGUUCCCGGGUCUUGUACUCACCGCCCGUCACACCAUGGGAGUUGUGUUUGCCUUAAGUCAGGAUGCUAAAUUGGCUACUGCCCACGGCACACACAGCGACUGGGGUGAAGUCGUAACAAGGUAACCGUAGUGAACC